This 253-nucleotide ribosomal RNA is filed under the name uncultured bacterium. Its description in RNAcentral is "partial 16S ribosomal RNA". It matches the Rfam family "Bacterial small subunit ribosomal RNA", at positions 524 to 776 of the family's 1533-position model. The record is from RNAcentral.
UACGUAUGGUGCAAGCGUUAUCCGGAUUUACUGGGUGUAAAGGGAGCGCAGGCGGCGCGGCAAGUCCGACGUGAAAACCCCCGGCUCAACCGGGGGACUGCAUUGGAAACUACCGGGCUGGAGUGCCGGAGAGGUAGGCGGAAUUCCUGGUGUAGCGGUGAAAUGCGUAGAUAUCAGGAGGAACACCAGUGGCGAAGGCGGCCUACUGGACGGUGACUGACGCUGAGGCUCGAAAGCGUGGGGAGCAAACAGG